Plasmodiophora brassicae is the source of this 73-nucleotide transfer RNA. It matches the Rfam family "tRNA". From Rfam's summary of the family: Transfer RNA (tRNA) molecules are approximately 80 nucleotides in length. Their secondary structure includes four short double-helical elements and three loops (D, anti-codon, and T loops). NCBI's taxonomy places the organism in Eukaryota, Endomyxa, Phytomyxea, Plasmodiophorida, Plasmodiophoridae. The record is from Rfam.
GUCUUCUUAGCUCAGUUGGGAGAGCGUACGACUGAAGAUCGUAAGGUCUCGCGUUCGAUCCGCGAAGAGGACA